This is a non-coding RNA of Arachis ipaensis, 197 nucleotides long. NCBI's taxonomy places the organism in Eukaryota, Viridiplantae, Streptophyta, Magnoliopsida, Fabales, Fabaceae. The record is from RefSeq and is a predicted model, not a curated record.
UCGUGAUAUAUUUUAGUUUGUCAAAUUAAAAAUAUAAAAUAUAAAUUAUUGUUUUAUAUAGAGUGAGAAGGGAAGAGAGAAAUAGAGAAGGGAGAGAGGUAGAUAAGAAGAUAAAAGAAGAGAGUUUAUUUUUUGAGAAAAAUAUUUUAUUUCAAUUUUAAUGAGAGAAUGUCAUGUGACACAUUAUAGUUGUUAAA